GGCCGACAUUCUCAAUGGAUGGGUACUCGUCUGCAAAACGAGUUUAGCACAGUUCGAUUCUGUCGUCGGCCU
This 72-nucleotide transfer RNA is filed under the name Dyadobacter arcticus. RNAcentral describes it as "tRNA-Cys". It matches the Rfam family "tRNA". From Rfam's summary of the family: Transfer RNA (tRNA) molecules are approximately 80 nucleotides in length. Their secondary structure includes four short double-helical elements and three loops (D, anti-codon, and T loops). Further hydrogen bonds mediate the characteristic L-shaped molecular structure. tRNAs have two regions of fundamental functional importance: the anti-codon, which is responsible for specific mRNA codon recognition, and the 3' end, to which the tRNAs corresponding amino acid is attached (by aminoacyl-tRNA synthetases). tRNAs cope with the degeneracy of the genetic code in two manners: having more than one tRNA (with a specific anti-codon) for a particular amino acid; and 'wobble' base-pairing, i.e. permitting non-standard base-pairing at the 3rd anti-codon position. The record is from RNAcentral. Lineage: Bacteria; Pseudomonadati; Bacteroidota; Cytophagia; Cytophagales; Spirosomataceae.